RNAcentral lists this ribosomal RNA (235 nucleotides) under uncultured bacterium. Its description in RNAcentral is "partial 16S ribosomal RNA". It matches the Rfam family "Bacterial small subunit ribosomal RNA", at positions 112 to 334 of the family's 1533-position model. The record is from RNAcentral.
AAUGCAUAGACAACCUACCUUAGAGUGGGGGAUAGCGGCUGGAAACGGCCGGUAAUACCGCAUAACACCAUCUCUUCGCAUGGGGAGAUGGUCAAAGGGGGCGCCUUCGGGGCUCUCGCUUUUUGAGGGGUCUAUGUUGUAUCAGCUUGUUGGUGGGGUAACGGCCCACCAAGGCGAAGACGCAUAGCCGGGCUGAGAGGUUGGCCGGCCACACUGGGACUGAGACACUGCCCAG